ACGGGGGGUGCAAGCGUUGUUCGGAAUUAUUGGGCGUAAAGAGCGUGUAGGCGGCUUGAUAAGUCAGAUGUGAAAGCCCUGGGCUUAACCCAGGAAGUGCAUUUGAAACUGUCUCGCUAGAAUAAGGGAGGGGGAAGUGGAAUUCCUGGUGUAGAGGUGGAAUUCGUAGAUAUCAGGAGGAACACCGGUGGCGAAGGCGACUUCCUGGCCCUAUAUUGACGCUGAGACGCGAGAGCGUGGGUAGCAAACAGGAUUAGAUACCCUGGUAGUCCACGCCGUAAACGAUGUUCACUAGGUGUUGGGGGUAUUGACCCCCUCAGUGCCGGAGCUAACGCAUUAAGUGAACCGCCUGGGGAGUACGGUCGCAAGACUA
Molecule: ribosomal RNA, 373 nt
Filed under: uncultured bacterium
Lineage: Bacteria
Description: bacterial SSU rRNA
Rfam family: Bacterial small subunit ribosomal RNA
Source: RNAcentral